RNAcentral lists this long non-coding RNA (199 nucleotides) under Ictidomys tridecemlineatus (thirteen-lined ground squirrel). RNAcentral describes it as "lncRNA (ENSSTOG00000034935.1)". Lineage: Eukaryota; Metazoa; Chordata; Mammalia; Rodentia; Sciuridae. The record is from RNAcentral.
CGUACACACUUGCUCUUCUAGCUCUUUGAAUUUGAAAGCUGUAUAAAAGCUCCUCUAGGGUCACCAAUCUGUUUUUCAGAUGCUGGUGGUUGUAAACUUGAUUGGCAUUGGCUGCGCCCACUGACCCCUGAGCCGAGUCCACUGAAGAUUUAAGGUGGAUCCGUGAAGCUGCAGCUUCAGGCGGAGUCUGGAGCUUAGG